ACGAAACCAGGCAUAAGUCGCGCAGCCGCGUUCAGAGCUACAGCCAAAUUUAGUCAGGGAAGCGAUUUUCUAUGUGUUUUGACAUCUUGGAAGAAAACGGUACCUUAACACUUAUAUUUUCAAUUUCCAUGGUCAUUACAUUCAAAUUCGGUCAAUAAAGAUGUUUAUUAUGUCAAUUAUGUCAGCGUGAUCAAAAGUUCAGGCUUCACUGAGCAAAGAGAAAGCCGAAAUGGGCCACUUUUCCCCGACCGAAACAACCUCCGAUCUGUUGCGGAUCAUCCAACUGUUUGGUACCAGGAGAAAGCUAAGGAAAUGCCCUGUCCAAUCACGUAGGUCAAAUGGCGAUAUUAUUUUGUAGUUCUUUUAAAAGAGCCAAUCAAAAGAGUAAACCAAACCCUCUUGUUGCUAUGCCUGUCAAGAUCAAGCUCCGUGAUUGGUCAAACGCCCACCGCGUGCUCUCGGGGCAUGCGCAGUUCUCUCACUUACAUCCGCAACAAACCAAGCAUGGUUAGUGUUAUUGCAAGUUUGAUUAAUGUUUCGUCUCGUAAAUAGCCGUAUUUACUCCUCAUUUUUGGACAACAAUGACAAGGACAAAGGCGACUGGGAGUCUGAUGAUGACUGGGAUGCCUUUGAUGAUGAAAAAGACGAUCGAGUGCACGAACUGGGAACAGAUUCAGCAGUGGGGAAGACCAAUGCGAUUUUUACCGCGGACGUAUCUCCCAAUUCUGGCUAUGAAAAGACCAAUAAUCUUUGCAUCAGCAAGGAAAGACUAACAGGCUUACUGAAAUGGUACUCCAAUGGGACAGGACAGGAGGGAGAAAGAGAUCCCUUCAGCUGGACAACAUCAAAGGAGAGGCGACAUUCAUCCAACAACAAGGUUCACAAAAUGCCCUAGUGCUCACUGGACAUGUCCCUGGAUUUAAACGUGAUGAUCUACAGCCCCCGCCUUCAAUUCACACUGCCACCAAGGUCAACCAAAGCUACAAAGAUGUUCUUCUUGGGACAGAGAAGAACUAUUGGACCAUCAAGCACCAACAAGAGUGGAGACUUGAAGAAAGCGACGCAUAUCUGAAUCUUACACUGACUCUGAGAGUGCCCAUAGACAGGUUGUGGGCGUGGAGAUGAACUUUUAAAUCUGUAAAUAUGUGGCAAGUACACAAGAGAAUACGUGAGUAAUGUGUGUGUGUGUGUGUGUGUGUGUGUGUGUGUGUGUGUGUGUGUGUGUGUGCGCGCGCGCGCGCGCGCAUGUGUGUAUGUGUUUAUGCUAAAUGCAUUUAAUUUAAUGCUAUAUUGACCUAAAUGUUCAUGUCCUGUAUGUUGUGUUUUUUUAAGCUUUGGCAGCAUUGAUACUUCCAAGCAUGCCAAUAAAGCACAUUUGAAUUUGAAUAUGCAAGUUAAAUUGUCUUUUUUAGUUCUUUUAGGGUUGCCAUUGGUAAGCGGUAGGGCAGUCAUGGGUAAGCGGUUAGGGCAUCAGACUGUAUCCCAAAGGUUGCCGGUUCGACUCGUGACCCGCCAGGUUGGUGUGGGAGUAAUUAAGCAGUGCUCUCCCCAUAAUCCUCCAAGACUAAGGUACCCUGAGUAUGGUUCCGUCCUGCCGCACUGCUCCCUUUGGGGCGCCAUUGGGGGCUGCCCCCUUUUGAGGCAUAAAUGCAAUUUCAUUGUGCGCAGUGUGCACUUGUGUGCUGUGGAGUGCUGUGUCACAAUGACAAAGGUAGUAGGAGUUUCCCAGUUGGGCUUUCACUUUCUUUAAGGCAUAACAUGAAGACAGAUACAGUAUGAGAGCAUGAAUUGGUGAUAAAAGAUGAUCAUAUUUCAGGUGGAUGAUUUCCCCGAAAUUCCAUUUGGAUGGAAAAGUCAGUUUCCGUUUAAAUAAUAGGUUAAAGUUCUUUGAUUUAAACAAAACUUCUGUGACAUGUCCGUCAUAGUGUCAUUAAUCAUCUGUGAAAAUUUCAUGUCAAUCGGAUGAUAAUUAAUAUGCGUUGCUAAGGACUUUAUACCUAUAAAAUAGUCCAAAACUUUGACGGCCGAUUUCUCGAAAAGGCGUUUCGCGAAAUAUGCCCAAACUCCAAAAGUAAAAUUUCCGUAACUUUGGUUCUACUUAUGAUAGAAACAUAAUUUUUUCACCAUAAUAAACCUUGGGUUCUGCUCUAUCAAUCCACAUAGAUAACUCAUUUUUGAUAUCCAGAGACUUAUGCCUGGUUUUGUGGUGGUGGGUC
Engraulis encrasicolus (European anchovy) is the source of this 2216-nucleotide long non-coding RNA. RefSeq lists it as uncharacterized. The record is from RefSeq and is a predicted model, not a curated record. The transcript has 3 exons. Lineage: Eukaryota; Metazoa; Chordata; Actinopteri; Clupeiformes; Engraulidae.